GAUUCCCCUAGUAACUUCGAGUGAAGCGGGAAAAGCUCAAAUUUAAAAUCUGGCAGUCCUUGGCUGUCCGAGUUGUAAUCUAGAGAAGUGUUAUCCGCGUUGGACCGUGUACAAGUCUCCUGGAAUGGAGCAUCACAGAGGGUGAGAAUCCCGUCUUUGACAUGGACUACCAGGGCAUUUGUGAUGCGCUCUCAAAGAGUCGAGUUGUUUGGGAAUGCAGCUCAAAAUGGGUGGUAAAUUCCAUCUAAAGCUAAAUAUUGGCGAGAGACCGAUAGCGAACAAGUACCGUGAGGGAAAGAUGAAAAGAACUUUGGAAAGAGAGUUAAACAGUACGUGAAAUUGCUGAAAGGGAAACGCUUGAAGUCAGUCGCGUUGGUUAGGGAUCAACCUUGCUAUUGCUUGGUGUAUUUCCUAGUUGACGGGUCAGCAUCAAUUUUGACUGUUGGAAAAAGGUCAAGGGAAUGUAGCAUCAUUAGAUGUGUUAUAGCCCUUGGUUGUAUACAAUGGUCGGGAUUGAGGAACUCAGCACGCCGCAAGGCCGGGUAAAACUGUUACCACGUACGUGCUUAGGAUGCUGGCAUAAUGGCUUUAAUCGACCCGUCUUGAAACACGGACCAAGGAGUCUAACAUGCCUGCGAGUGUUUGGGUGGAAAACCCGAGCGCGUAAUGAAAGUGAAAAAGUUGAGAUCCCUGUCGUAGGGAGCAUCGACGCCCGGACUUGACCUUUUGUGAUGGAUCCGCGGUAGAGCAUGUAUGUUGGGACCCGAAAGAUGGUGAACUAUGCCUGAAUAGGGUGAAGCCAGAGGAAACUCUGGUGGAGGCUCGUAGCGAUUCUGACGUGCAAAUCGAUCGUCAAAUUUGGGUAUAGGG
Molecule: ribosomal RNA, 870 nt
Filed under: Cortinarius sp.
Lineage: Eukaryota; Fungi; Basidiomycota; Agaricomycetes; Agaricales; Cortinariaceae
Description: LSU rRNA
Rfam family: Eukaryotic large subunit ribosomal RNA
Source: RNAcentral